Molecule: long non-coding RNA, 1054 nt
Organism: Sipha flava (yellow sugarcane aphid)
Lineage: Eukaryota; Metazoa; Arthropoda; Insecta; Hemiptera; Aphididae
Exons: 4
Source: RefSeq, a predicted model, not a curated record
CCACAAUCGACAAAGCAGUAUUUCGACACAGUAGAGCAAAAACUAGUUUUGGCAAUCUUUAUCACGAGUGUACAUAAACCUUUUUAGAUCAUAUACUAUAUGUAGUACCAGUAUAUGAUCUAAGCAUAAACCAUUAAAUAAAUAAAAUAUUUAUAAAAAUUCAUACAACUGUAAACUUGUCUAAAUACAGUCGUGAUAACCGCUGUAAUCAAUAAUCAAACCAACAAAUAUUGAAUAAAAUGAGUUGUUAAUUAUCUACAUAUCUUAAAUUUUCAAAUAGAAUAACAUCAAUUUUAUUCUACUACAAGGCCAGAGAAAAAUGCCCUGGGCGAUGGGGACGCCACCUUCCUGACGCCAGCAGAGAAAAACUUUAAAAAAAAAAACUAGUUAACUUAGAACUGUUGUUGUAACACAAAAUCUUCUUAGAACCAUUUCAUAUAAACUUGGAUAUAAUUGUUUUUUUAUAAUUGUUUAAACCACUUCAAAGGAACUUGCUAAUGAUUGAAAAGAUUUCCAGUCAGAAUUCCGUUUCUUCAACCAAUUAAAAGAGUGGAAAUGAUUUAUAAUAAAUUUGAAGAUAUGGAAGUCUAUAGCCUUUGACCUUGAGAGUAUUAUAGGCAGGGUUGUUUUGAUGAUUUGUGGUGCUCAGGGCAGAGUAAAUUUGCAGGGCUUUAAAUGUUGAAAAUUUCACUAUCGAGCAUCAGUUACAUAUUGGAACUCAAAUGUGCGCAAAUAGUCUUAACAAAUACAGUUCCUUGCACUUACAACAAUAUGAAUAAGUUAAUAAAUUAAUUAUAUAAUAAACAAUUUUACAUGAAAAAAAAAUGAUAUGUACAUUUUUUUUUUUUUACUCAUCAAUUUAACUGUUUUUUAUUGAUCUAUGAAAGCAAGGCCUGUCCAACUGUGGUGAGAGCGGGGGGGAGGGCUCCGCUCACCCUGCCCUAGGGAUGGCCCUGAUUAUAGGUAGUUUUGUAGAGGAAGUUGUUAUGGACUUGCUGGUAGAUGCCAUUAAUGGAUCUUCAGUACAUUCUUCAUUGUCAGAUGAAAGGUUGUU